AAUCAACGCUGGCGGCGUGCCUCAGACAUGCAAGUCGAACGAUUAAAGCUCUCUUCGGAGAGUGCAUAAAGUGGCGCACGGGUGAGUAACACGUAAGUAAUCUACCUUCGAGUGGGGAAUAACGUCCGGAAACGGACGCUAAUACCGCAUAAUGCAGCGGCAUCGCAAGAUGACAGUUGUUAAAGAUUUAUCGCUUGAAGAGGAGCUUGCGGCAGAUUAGCUAGUUGGUAAGGUAAUGGCUUACCAAGGCUACGAUCUGUAACCGGUCUAAGAGGACGGUCGGUCACACUGACACUGAAUAACGGGUCAGACUCCUACGGAGGCAGCAGUCGGGAAUUUUGGGCAAUGGGCGAAAGCCUGACCCAGCAACGCCGCGUGAAGGAUGAAGUAUUUCGGUAUGUAAACUUCGAAAGAAUGGGAAGAAUAAAUGACGGUACCAUUUAUAAGGUCCGGCUAACUACGUGCCAGCAGCCGCUGU
Molecule: ribosomal RNA, 478 nt
Filed under: uncultured bacterium
Lineage: Bacteria
Description: bacterial SSU rRNA
Rfam family: Bacterial small subunit ribosomal RNA
Source: RNAcentral